GAAGGUGUAGUUCAAUUGGUGGAACAUCGGACUUUUAAUCCGUCGGCUGCGGGUUCGAGUCCCGUCAUCUUCA
This 73-nucleotide transfer RNA is filed under the name Halteria grandinella. Its description in RNAcentral is "tRNA-Lys". It matches the Rfam family "tRNA". Rfam says of the family: Transfer RNA (tRNA) molecules are approximately 80 nucleotides in length. Their secondary structure includes four short double-helical elements and three loops (D, anti-codon, and T loops). Further hydrogen bonds mediate the characteristic L-shaped molecular structure. tRNAs have two regions of fundamental functional importance: the anti-codon, which is responsible for specific mRNA codon recognition, and the 3' end, to which the tRNAs corresponding amino acid is attached (by aminoacyl-tRNA synthetases). tRNAs cope with the degeneracy of the genetic code in two manners: having more than one tRNA (with a specific anti-codon) for a particular amino acid; and 'wobble' base-pairing, i.e. permitting non-standard base-pairing at the 3rd anti-codon position. The record is from RNAcentral. Lineage: Eukaryota; Ciliophora; Spirotrichea; Sporadotrichida; Halteriidae.